Molecule: long non-coding RNA, 1475 nt
Filed under: Salmo salar (Atlantic salmon)
Lineage: Eukaryota; Metazoa; Chordata; Actinopteri; Salmoniformes; Salmonidae
Description: lncRNA (ENSSSAG00000086982.1)
Source: RNAcentral
CAUCCGCCCACCCCAGCCCAGCGCGCCGCUGGAGCAGAACCGACGGCUACCCGCCAGUCCUCUGGGCCUGCACGCCGGCAGCUGGCGCCUCGCAGGAACAAAGCUGCCGCGCUUUGUCGGGCCUAAUGCCUCUCUGUGUUGUCACUUAAGGUCUUUAUUGGUAUUAAUUGAUGCGAUCGGUUGGUGCAACUUCAGCUCCCAUACUUCUCUUCUUUGCCCCCUUUCUCUCAGCCCGAUGUGUCUCAUGAGUUUUGGGCUUCUUCAAACAGGUGGGCUGGUCUGAGUUGAGAGCGAAGGAAUAAAUGCAGUAAAAUUCCAUCUGAACUCAAAGUAGAUCAAAGGGAAAGGAAGAAAAGUUUACACUGCUGCGCUGUCAGGUCGUAAGCACUGGAGGGCCGCAGAGAUGGCACUGAAGCUCAUCAUGGCAGACUGCUGAAAAGUGGAUUAAAGUCUUGUCUUAUUGCUGCAACUCCCUUACGGACUCAGGAGAGGCGAAGGUGGAGAUUCAUGCAUCCUCCGAAACACGACCCUGCCAAGCUGCACUGAUUCUUGACACACUACUCGCUUAACCCGGAAGGCAGCCUCACCACUUUUUUGGAGGAAACACUGUAUAACUGCAGACCGUGUCAGCGUGCAUGCGCCCGGCCCGCCACAGGAGUCGCUGGAGCGUGAUGGAACAAGGACAUCCUGGUCUGCCAAACCCUCCCCUAACAACGCUGGGCCAAUUGUGCGCCGCCUCAUGGGUCUCCCGGUCGCAGCUGGCUGCGACACAGCCCGGGAUCGAACCCGGAUCUGUAGUGAUGCCUCAAGCACUGCGAUGCAGUGCCUUAGACUGCUGCGCCACUCAGGAGGCCCUGUUGCUGCUUUUGAUUGUGAUUAUGUUUAUGGUGGUGCCCUUUUGACCUUUGCUCAAGAAAAGGAGUUCAGUCAAAUGGCAAUGUAAACACAGACUUAAGUACUUCAUUAUUUGUGUAUCGGAUGAUGGCACCUCAGAACAACUGAGGAUCCCUGGAUGUUCCACAUAGUGUUCCGCUGGCCUAUCUUUCUGCAUUCCUCCAAACACAGCUUCUGUAAUGGUAUAGCCCCCAUUGCACUCUUCACAACUCAUCUCUCAUUCUAAACAACGUUUGGACAAUUAUCACGGACACAUGAGCAUUAGGGCAAUUGCUAUGAGAGUAUUUCAUAGGUCAUUACUUUCCCAUAAGACAACAUUGAUGCAGUCAUUUGCGCUUGGCGUAGUAAGAACCCUUUCUUUAUGCUUUGGUUAUACUGCCCCCUCCCAAACCCUAUCCCGGAUGGGGGGCUGUACUAAGACAAAGACCAGUGGGAUGACUGAUAAGAAAAAGUGGAAUUUAGUGGUCAACAGGGGUUAAUGGCUUAAGAUGUUUUCAAUGUCAAAUAUAUGUGCGUGCUUGAUGGUCAUGCGAAAACAUGAGGUGCGUAUGUGUGUGUGUGUGUGUGUGUGUGUGUGUGUG